RNAcentral lists this ribosomal RNA (1198 nucleotides) under Ascomycota sp. L210. Its description in RNAcentral is "eukaryotic LSU rRNA". The stretch from base 561 to 1198 matches the Rfam family "Eukaryotic large subunit ribosomal RNA", at positions 1 to 609 of the family's 3401-position model. Lineage: Eukaryota; Fungi; Ascomycota. The record is from RNAcentral.
UUUUUUUGGGAAAAGUCUACAAGUUCGCUGGUGACCAGCGGAAGGAUCAUUAGCGAGACAUAGAUGCUCCAACCCGUUUGAGAAUCUACCCAUACAGCGCUUGUCUCGGCGGGUUUGUCAGUGGGAUUCGUCCCCUGGCACGCCGCCCGGCCAGACGGAGCCCGCCGGAAGCGCCAAACUCUCUUUUGAAAAGAAGUCUUCUGAGUGGUAAAGCAAAACAAGCAAAACUUUCAACAACGGAUCUCUUGGUUCUGGCAUCGAUGAAGAACGCAGCGAAAUGCGAUAAGUAAUGUGAAUUGCAGAAUUCAGUGAAUCAUCGAAUCUUUGAACGCACAUUGCGCCCGGUGGUAUUCCGCCGGGCAUGCCUGUUCGAGCGUCAUUUCUACCCUCAGGCCCCAUCGUCUUAGGCGGUACGGGCUUGGUUUUGGAGCGUGCGGUGCCCGUGGCCCGCAGCCCCUAAUUGCAUCGGCGUACGCUGUACGUUGCCCCCUGCGUAGUGGUUUACUUUCUCGCAUCGGGCCGUGCUGUAGUGCUGCCGCCAACCAACUCCUUCUGAAGUUUGACCUCGAAUCAGGUAGGGUUACCCGCUGAACUUAAGCAUAUCAAUAAGCGGAGGAAAAGAAACCAACAGGGAUUGCCCUAGUAACGGCGAGUGAAGCGGCAACAGCUCAAAUUUGAAAUCUGGCGCUUGCGUCCGAGUUGUAAUUUGCAGAGGAUGCUUCCUGCGCGGUGCCUUCCGAGUUCCCUGGAACGGGACGCCAUAGAGGGUGAGAGCCCCGUACGGUCGGUAACCAAGCUUUGUGUAGCACCUUCGACGAGUCGAGUAGUUUGGGAAUGCUGCUCUAAAUGGGAGGUAAACUCCUUCUAAAGCUAAAUAUUGGCCAGAGACCGAUAGCGCACAAGUAGAGUGAUCGAAAUGAUGAAAAGCACUUUGAAAAGAGAGUCAAAUAGCACGUGAAAUUGUUGAAAGGGAAGCGCUUGUGACCAGACUUGGGCCUGGUAGUUCAGCCGUCCUUCUGGGCGGUGCACUCUGCCGGUUCAGGCCACCAUCAGUUGCUGGUUGGGGAGAAAGAUGGUGGGAAUGUGGCUACUUCGGAUGUGUUAUAACCCGGCUGUUAUACCUUUCCGGCGACUGAGGAUACGCGCCUCUGCUCGAUGGGAAUCCUUUAUGGCAUUACCCUUUUGAAACCCGAAAAAA